Pelobates cultripes (western spadefoot toad) is the source of this 109-nucleotide non-coding RNA. The record is from the annotation of a GenBank genome assembly. Lineage: Eukaryota; Metazoa; Chordata; Amphibia; Anura; Pelobatidae.
GACAGAGUUAGGGAGGGAGUGACUAGUGACAGAGAGAGGGAUGGGGUGACUAGUGACAGUCACCCACUCCCUCACUCUGUCACUAGUCACUCCCUCCCUCUGUCACUAG